Molecule: unclassified non-coding RNA, 164 nt
Filed under: uncultured fungus
Lineage: Eukaryota; Fungi
Description: sequence contains ITS1, 5.8S rRNA gene
Source: RNAcentral
UCGAGUGCAGGCGCCGUCCGGCGCCGACUCCCACCCGUGUGGACCCGUACCUGUUGCUUUGGCGGGCCGGCGGCCCGGCCGCCCUCCGGCUUCGGCGGGGGCGCGCCCGCCAGAGACCCGCACAACCCGCUCAACGGUGGCGUCUGAGUGCAGCUGAAGAAUGA